Molecule: ribosomal RNA, 1323 nt
Filed under: Triticum aestivum (bread wheat)
Lineage: Eukaryota; Viridiplantae; Streptophyta; Magnoliopsida; Poales; Poaceae
Description: partial small subunit ribosomal RNA
Source: RNAcentral
AUGCUGGUUCCGCUCAAGGAUAAGCCCACCUCUGAAAUAGCGUUCCUGCUGGAGCCACCGACACCGUCACCGUCACCAGCACCGUCCGAUCUGGCGUCAGUCCCGCCGGCGAGUUCCACUGAAUCAAGGAGUGGUCCUAGGUGGCGGGUCAUCGUCGGCGUUGCUGCUGGAUGCAGUGUUCUUACUUUGGGUUCCGUGCAUGCUCUCUUCUUGCUAUGCCGUUGGUGUCGGCGGCACGGCGACCGUGGUGACCGAAGCAAGGCCACCCUACCGGCAGUGGAGCAUGCUGUGUCAGACGGGCCGGCGAAGGGAGCUUUGACGAGGGUGGCGUCCUUGAUGUGGCCGAUGGUGGUGCGCGAGGCAGUGGGGUCGCUGACCGUGUACGACUACGGGGAUCUAGAGAGGGCGACAUCGGGUUUCUCGGAGGAGCAGUGUAUUGGAAACUCGUCGGUCUACCGCGCGGUGAUCAACGGCAGCGCUGUGGCCGUGAAGCGAGUGCCCGGCGACGUGGGCACUGAGGUGACCCUCCUGGGGCGCGUCAACCACUCGAGCCUCAUCCGCAUGUCCGGCCUGUGCAUGCACGGCGGCUACACCUACAUGGCGUUCGAGUUCGCCGAGAACGGCGCGCUCAGCGACUGGCUCCACAGCGGAGAGGAGGAGGAGGGCCGCGUGCUCGGGUGGAGCCAGCGUGUGCAGGUCGCGCUCGACGUGGCAGGCGGGCUCAACUACCUGCACAACUACACCGACCCUCCCUACGUGCAUAAGAAUCUCAAGGGCAGCAACAUCCUCCUCGACGCAUGCUUCCGCGCCAAGCUCUCAAACUUCGGCCUCGCGCUCGCGAUCACCGCGGACGACGACCGCGGCGGCCUGUGGAUGACCCGGCACGUGGUCGGCACGCAGGGUUAUCUGGCGCCCGAGUACCUCGAGCACGGGCUGAUCGGCUCCCAGCUCGACGUGUUCGCGUUCGGCGUCCUCGUGCUUCAGCUCUUGUCCGGGAAGGAGGCGGCUAGACAAGACGACGACGAGAACGGGAAGGUGGUAUUGCUUUGGGAGGAAGCGGAACGGUUGGGCCUGGGCGGCGGCGCCGGCGACCUGCUGGACAAGGUGACGGCGUUCGUCGACGGCCGGCUGCAUGGGCGGUACCCGUUGGACGUGGUGUUCGCCAUGCUCGCGUUGGCAUUGAGGUGCGUGGCCCGGGAGCCCCGGACGCGACCGUCCAUGGCCGAGGUGCUCCUUUCGCUCUCGGGGAUGUACAAUUGGACAAUAAAUUGGGACCCUCGGUGCCCUGACCCUGAGGGCACCGGAACUCCUCGCGAACAAUAG